AGCGAACGCUGGCGGCAGGCCUAACACAUGCAAGUCGAACGAACUCUUCGGAGUUAGUGGCGGACGGGUGAGUAACACGUGGGAACGUGCCUUUUGGUUCGGAAUAACUCAGGGAAACUUGUGCUAAUACCGAAUGUGCCCUUCGGGGGAAAGAUUUAUCGCCAUUAGAGCGGCCCGCGUCUGAUUAGCUAGUUGGUGAGGUAACGGCUCACCAAGGCGACGAUCAGUAGCUGGUCUGAGAGGAUGACCAGCCACACUGGGACUGAGACACGGCCCAGACUCCUACGGGAGGCAGCAGUGGGGAAUCUAGCGCAAUGGGCGAAAGCCUGACGCAGCCAUGCCGCGUGAAUGAUGAAGGUCUUAGGAUUGUAAAAUUCUUUCACCGGGGACGAGAAUGACGGUACCCGGAGAAGAAGCCCCGGCUAACUUCGUG
Molecule: ribosomal RNA, 433 nt
Filed under: uncultured bacterium
Lineage: Bacteria
Description: partial 16S ribosomal RNA
Rfam family: Bacterial small subunit ribosomal RNA
Source: RNAcentral